AAGGCUUCGGGUUGUAACCCUUCAGUUGGGACGAAGCUCCGUCGGUUAAUAGCCGCCUGGAGUGACGGUACCUUCACAAGAAGCACCGGCUAACUACGUGC
Molecule: ribosomal RNA, 101 nt
Filed under: uncultured bacterium
Lineage: Bacteria
Description: partial 16S ribosomal RNA
Source: RNAcentral